CCUACGGGGGGCUGCAGUGGGGAAUAUUGGACAAUGGGGGGAACCCUGAUCCAGCCAUGCCGCGUGUGUGAAGAAGGCCCUCGGGUUGUAAAGCACUUUCAGUGAGGAAGAACGCCUGGUGGUUAAUACCCAUCAGGAAAGACAUCACUCACAGAAGAAGCACCGGCUAACUCCGUGCCAGCAGCCGCGGUAAUACGGAGGGUGCGAGCGUUAAUCGGAAUUACUGGGCGUAAAGCGCGCGUAGGUGGCUUGAUAAGCCGGUUGUGAAAGCCCCGGGCUCAACCUGGGAACGGCAUCCGGAACUGUCAAGCUAGAGUGCAGGAGAGGAAGGUAGAAUUCCCGGUGUAGCGGUGAAAUGCGUAGAGCUCGGGAGGAAUACCAGUGGCGAAGGCGGCCUUCUGGACUGACACUGACACUGAGGUGCGAAAGCGUGGGUAGCAAACAGGAUUAGAUACCCUAGUAGUC
This 465-nucleotide ribosomal RNA is filed under the name Vreelandella stevensii. RNAcentral's name for it is "partial 16S ribosomal RNA". It matches the Rfam family "Bacterial small subunit ribosomal RNA", at positions 338 to 795 of the family's 1533-position model. The record is from RNAcentral. Lineage: Bacteria; Pseudomonadati; Pseudomonadota; Gammaproteobacteria; Oceanospirillales; Halomonadaceae.